This 260-nucleotide ribosomal RNA is filed under the name uncultured Bacillota bacterium. RNAcentral's name for it is "uncultured Firmicutes bacterium partial 16S ribosomal RNA". It matches the Rfam family "Bacterial small subunit ribosomal RNA", at positions 338 to 590 of the family's 1533-position model. Lineage: Bacteria; Bacillati; Bacillota. The record is from RNAcentral.
CCUACGGGAGGCAGCAGUAGGGAAUCUUCCACAAUGGACGAAAGUCUGAUGGAGCAACGCCGCGUGAGUGAAGAAGGUCUUCGGAUCGUAAAACUCUGUUGUUAGAGAAGAACGUGCAUGAUAGUAACUGAUCAUGUAAUGACGGUAUCUAACCAGAAAGCCACGGCUAACUACGUGCCAGCAGCCGCGGUAAUACGUAGGUGGCAAGCGUUGUCCGGAUUUAUUGGGCGUAAAGGGAACGCAGGCGGUUUUUUAAGUCU